RNAcentral lists this transfer RNA (69 nucleotides) under Dolichosciara megumiae. Its description in RNAcentral is "tRNA-Leu". Lineage: Eukaryota; Metazoa; Arthropoda; Insecta; Diptera; Sciaridae. The record is from RNAcentral.
AUUAUUUUGGCAGAAUAUUGUAAUAAAUUUAGAAUUUAUAUAAGUAAACAUAUAAUUUUACAAAUAAUA